This 1128-nucleotide long non-coding RNA is filed under the name Mytilus galloprovincialis (Mediterranean mussel). Lineage: Eukaryota; Metazoa; Mollusca; Bivalvia; Mytilida; Mytilidae. The record is from RNAcentral.
CACUAGAGGAUACCAUAUAGGGGGUUAUUUUCGCAGGGUGUAAAUUUUCAUUCAUUUUCGUAGAUGGAACAAAAUUGCCCUAAUAAAUUCUGCCGACUGCACAUGCAAAGGUAUUGAUAAAAGUUUUGAAUCCGCCAAAGUAUGUCAUAUACCUAAUAAAUAUCACGAAAUUUUACACCCGGCAAAAUAACCCCCUAUACGGUACUAUAUGAAGGUUUGGAUAGGAUUUACAGAAUAGAAAAAUAUGAGUCAAAUAUAUAAAGUAAAGAAUAGAGAAAAAUGGAGAGAGAAUCAUACAAAACUGUACUUUACAUUCAAAUGUUAAAUAUGUCUUCUGUUAUUAACCUCUAAAUUAUGCUUUCACUUUACUACAAUUUUUCAAGCAGUUAAUAUGUGGAUUGGACCAGACAAAUUAAUUUAUUGACAAUAAGCAGACUGAACCACGGAAAUGUCAAUCUUGUCUUAUGCUUCUUUUGGCAGAUUUUCACUUAUUAAUUUUUCUUUUUAUGGGGAGGUACCUUGAAAUUUAUUAUAUUUUCUGUUCUUAGCACUCAAUCAUAACUGAGAGUUAACAUAUUUUGUCAAAACAAAACAAAAUAUUCAAUUAUUUAUUUUUUCAUUUUCAAAGGCAACAAUUAUUUCCCUUAGCAUGCUUAGAAUUUCAAUAUAAGUUUGGCUAAAAAACGAACUAGCACAUUCUUAUUAAAUCCAUAAUCAUGAUCAUCCUGACAUAUACAUUUACUACUGUGUAUUCAUUAUUAUUUGUUGGAUACCAAUUUUCAUGGAUUUCAUGGGUACGUGUGAACCACGAAUUUAAAUGUUCAAAGAAUAACAAAAUUUCUAUAAGGUUUUAUGCAGAUUUUUGCAAAACCACAAAAUAAAUAUCCACGAAAAGGCAUGUUUUCCUCAAUCUACGAAAGUUGGUACCUAUGAAAUUAAAUGAAUCUACAGUAACAUCUAUCAAUAAUUUUAUACAAAUUUUGCCCAAAGCUAAACACAGAAAAAUCCAUACUAUAUCACAAUAUGCAUAAUACAUCAGCUACAGAGAAAAACUGUCCAUAAUUCCUCUGGUAUAUAUCUAACAUCACACUAAAGCUGAAUCAUCACCGCCGUCUGGUCUGAAAACAA